ACGAACGCUGGCGGCGUGCUUAACACAUGCAAGUCGAACGGUGAAGCUCCAGCUUGCUGGAGUGGAUCAGUGGCGAACGGGUGAGUAACACGUGAGCAACCUGCCCCUGACUCUGGAAUAAGCGCUGGAAACGGCGUCUAAUACUGGAUACGAGAAGGGUCCGCAUGGGCACUUUCUGGAAAGUUUUUCGGUUGGGGAUGGGCUCGCGGCCUAUCAGCUUGUUGGUGAGGUAAUGGCUCACCAAGGCGACGACGGGUAGCCGGCCUGAGAGGGCGACCGGCCACACUGGGACUGAGACACGGCCCAGACUCCUACGGGAGGCAGCAGUGGGGAAUAUUGCACAAUGGGCGAAAGCCUGAUGCAGCGACGCCGCGUGAGGGAUGACGGCCUUCGGGUUGUAAACCUCUUUCAGCAGGGAAGAAGCGAGAGUGACGGUACCUGCAGAAGAAGCACCGGCUAACUACGUG
RNAcentral lists this ribosomal RNA (467 nucleotides) under uncultured bacterium. RNAcentral describes it as "partial 16S ribosomal RNA". It matches the Rfam family "Bacterial small subunit ribosomal RNA", at positions 29 to 507 of the family's 1533-position model. The record is from RNAcentral.